Molecule: ribosomal RNA, 488 nt
Filed under: uncultured bacterium
Lineage: Bacteria
Description: bacterial SSU rRNA
Rfam family: Bacterial small subunit ribosomal RNA
Source: RNAcentral
GACGAACGCUGGCGGCGUGGAUUAGGCAUGCAAGUCGAACGGUAGGAUACCUUCGGGUAUCUGAGAGUGGCGAACGGGUGAGUAACACGUAGGUGAUCUACCCUCAAGAUUGGGACAACCCAGGGAAACUUGGGCUAAUACCGGAUGAAAGCAGCAGUGAUGUUGUUUGAAAGGUGGCGUAAGCUGCCGUUUGGGGAUGAGCCUGCGCUCUAUUAGUUAGUUGGCGGGGUAAAGGCCCACCAAGGCGAUGAUAGAUAGGCGGCCUUAACGGGUGGUCGCCCACACUGGGAUUGAGAUACGGCCCAGACUCCUACGGGAGGCAGCAGUCGAGAAUAGUCUACAAUGGCCGAAAGGCUGAUAGUGCGACGCCGCGUGAACGAAGAAGCCCUUCGGGGUGUAAAGUUCUUUUAUACGUGAGCAGUGCCCUUUAUAUGAAUAGUAUAGAGGGAGGGAUUUAAGCGUAUGAAUAAGCAACGGCUAACUCCGUG